This 274-nucleotide ribosomal RNA is filed under the name uncultured bacterium. RNAcentral describes it as "partial 16S ribosomal RNA". It matches the Rfam family "Bacterial small subunit ribosomal RNA", at positions 69 to 339 of the family's 1533-position model. The record is from RNAcentral.
AUAGCGGGAAGCUUGCUUCCGGCUAAAGUUAGUGGCGGACGGGUGAGUAACGCGUGAGCAACCUGCCUGUAAGAGGGGAAUAACGUUUGGAAACGAACGCUAAUACCGCAUAAAGCACAGAUAUCGCAUGGUGACUGUGCCAAAGAGAAUCGCUUACAGAUGGGCUCGCGUCCGAUUAGGCAGUUGGUGAGGUAACGGCUCACCAAACCGACGAUCGGUAGCCGGACUGAGAGGUUGAACGGCCACAUUGGAACUGAGAAACGGUCCAGACUCC